RNAcentral lists this small RNA (133 nucleotides) under Klebsiella pneumoniae. Its description in RNAcentral is "RtT sRNA". It matches the Rfam family "RtT RNA". From Rfam's summary of the family: This family represents a bacterial cis-regulatory element known as RtT RNA. The exact function of RtT is unknown although it is thought that it may be involved in changing the cellular response in relation to amino acid starvation. The record is from RNAcentral. Lineage: Bacteria; Pseudomonadati; Pseudomonadota; Gammaproteobacteria; Enterobacterales; Enterobacteriaceae.
UGUUUGCACUUAGCGGGAAGGGUAAGAACCUUCGACUAAGGUUCGACUCGAGCGCCAGCGAGAGAACGUUGCCGCAGGCAACGGCCCGAAGGGCGAGGCGCUUUAGCGCCGAGUAAUCCUUCCCCCACCACUG